UAGGCAAAAUGGUGCCGUAACUUCGGGAGAAGGCACGCUGACACGUAGGUGAAGUGAUUUACUCAUGGAGCUGAAGUCAGUCGAAGAUACCAGCUGGCUGCAACUGUUUAUUAAAAACACAAGCACUGUGCAAACACGAAAGUGGACGUAUACGGUGUGACGCCUGCCCGGUGCCGGAAGGUUAAUUGAUGGGGUCAGCGCAAGCGAAGCUCCUGAUCGAAGCCCCGGUAAACGGCGGCCGU
Molecule: ribosomal RNA, 242 nt
Filed under: Salmonella enterica subsp. enterica serovar Infantis
Lineage: Bacteria; Pseudomonadati; Pseudomonadota; Gammaproteobacteria; Enterobacterales; Enterobacteriaceae
Description: partial 23S ribosomal RNA
Rfam family: Bacterial large subunit ribosomal RNA
Source: RNAcentral